AUGCUGGACAUGAGCGAGGCCCGCGCCCAGCCGCCCUGCAGCCCGUCUGGCACUGCCAGCUCCAUGUCGCACGUGGAGGACUCGGACUCGGAUGCGCCGCCCUCGCCCGCAGGUUCCGAGGGUCUGGGCCGCGCGGCGGGCGCGGGGGGCGGCGGCCGGGGCGACGCGGCCGAGGCGGCGGAUGAGCGCUUCCCCGCCUGCAUCCGCGACGCCGUGUCGCAGGUGCUCAAGGGCUACGACUGGAGCCUGGUGCCCAUGCCCGUGCGCGGCGGCGGCGGCGGCGCGCUCAAGGCGAAGCCGCACGUGAAGCGGCCCAUGAACGCCUUCAUGGUGUGGGCGCAGGCGGCGCGCCGCAAGCUGGCGGAUCAGUACCCGCACCUGCACAACGCCGAGCUCAGCAAGACACUGGGCAAGCUGUGGCGCCUGCUGAGUGAGACUGAGAAGCGUCCCUUCGUGGAGGAGGCGGAGCGGCUGCGCGUCCAACACAAGAAGGACCACCCCGAUUACAAGUACCAGCCGCGCCGCAGGAAGAGCGUGAAGACCGGCCAGAGCGACUUGGACUCGGGCGCCGAGCUGGGCCACCACCCGGGUGGCGUGUACAAGACCGAUGCCGGCCUGGGGGACACGCACCACCACGGUGACCACACAGGGCAGACCCACGGGCCGCCCACCCCGCCCACCACCCCCAAGACUGACCUGCACCACGGGGGCAAGCAGGAGCUGAAGCUGGAAGGCCGCCGCCUGGUGGACAGCGGGCGUCAGAACAUUGACUUCAGCAACGUGGACAUCUCCGAGCUGAGCAGUGAGGUCAUCGGGAACAUGGACACCUUCGAUGUCCACGAGUUCGACCAGUACCUGCCCCUCAACGGCCACUCGGCCCUGCCCGCCGAGCCUGGCCAGCCCGCGGCGGCCGGCUCCUUCGGGAGCGCAUCCUACUCGCACUCCGGGGCGGCCGGCAUGGGGGCGUCCCCCGUGUGGGCUCACAAGGGCGCACCGUCGGCCUCCGCGUCGCCCACCGAGGCGGGCCCCCCGCGGCCGCACAUCAAGACGGAGCAGCUGAGCCCCGGGCACUACGGCGACCAGUCACACGGCUCCCCGGGCCACACCGACUAUGGCUCCUACAGUGCGCAGGCCAGCGUCACCACCGCCGCCCCUGCCGCGGCCGCCAGCUCCUUCACCAGCUCGCAGUGUGACUACACCGACCUGCAGGCGCCCAGCUACUAUGGCCCGUUCCCCGGCUACCCGUCCGGCCUCUACCAGUACCCCUACUUCCACUCACCCCGCCGGCCCUACGCCUCGCCCCUGCUCGGGGGCCUGUCUGUGCCGCCCGCCCACAGCCCCCCCAGUAACUGGGAGCAGCCGGUGUACACCACCCUGACCAGACCCUGAGGGUGCGGCCGCGGGAGGGGGCCGGCCAAGGACUGCCUCGCCCCGGCAGAGACACACAGGCCUCCGGGGUCUCGGAAGGUGCAGCGAGGGCAGGCGCUGCGGCUGCGUCAAGUGCCUGCCGAGGCCCGUGAGGAGCCAGGCUGUGCGAACGAGCCCCCUCUGCUUACAGAUUUCCAGACCCCCAUCCACGGACAAAGCCCUCCUUCUCUUCCCUCUCUCUUUGCGGGGACUGCGGCUCGGAAGCCCAGCCGGGCCCCACUUCCGAGCAGGCAUGGGUUUUGCAUCUCCCUGGCUGCAAAGUGGCAGCCACAGCACAAAAGACAAAAGGAGGGAAGAGGUGUGGGGGCUCCGGGCCCCCCGAGCUCCGGCCAGCCUUGGUACUGAGAACUCGUAGGGCCCACGGAUGACAUUCCCGCGGCCGGGAGGCGUCCGAGGGAACACGUCCUGGGACCAGCCCAUUAGACCCGAGGUGUUCCUUGUAGUUACAGUUCUUCCGAGCAAGGUUUGGCUGUGAUUAACACUUCUCUCUUUUUAUUUUAUUAUUUUUUUUUAAUUUUUAUUUUUGAAGCUUCAAUGUAUUUGAUUUGUUUUGAAAGCUGUUAAAAUGUAUUUAUGUUCUGUGUUAUUUUAUCUGUAAUUAAUGAAGUAAUCUGUGCAGAGAGUAGAAUUUAAGACGAGACAGAAGCCGGAGAGCUGAGGGUGAGGCAUGGGCGGGGCAGAGCGUGGGGGUCCUUGCUCCGAGUGGCAGGGCCCCAGCUCCGGGUCUCCCGGAGGUGGCUGGAGCCCCGAGGCAGGAGAAGGGGCUUGUCUUGUGGUUUCUCUGAUCAGGUUGGGGUACCCCUGGCACGGGCAUUAAGUCAAGGUUUAGGAGGCAGAGUGCCACUGAAUUUCACCCCUGCCCGUGGCCGUGCCAAGUGGUGGAGGCGGGGAUUUCCUGGGACUCGGUGGCUCCAAAAACGCAUUAAUCUUGGCUCUUAGGAACCAGGCGCCACCUACAAGCUGUGAAACUAGAACCUUCUCCACUAAGCGUUUUUAGAUUCUUAGUUUUAGAAGAAAAAUGCCGAUUUACCUGUCCUGCUUCCGCUGUGCGCUGAGCGACGAUAACUGCCUACUUCCUGGAAAAUUGUGCCUUUAAAACUUUGUAAAUUUAAGUACAUCUGAGAUGUUGCUUCUUUUUACUUUUUCUACUUUUUCCUACCUUUUUCUAGAAAAAAAAAUUUUUUUUUUUUUUUUGCAUAUGUCUUCCUGGGGGUGGGGGCAGGGGGCUGCAGCAACUCGUUUUUAUGCAAUCUAUUUUUCGGUGUCAAGUUUGAACUUUCGCUGUCACUUACCUGCUGUGUUUCGCUCCUUUCUGACCAAGCAAUGCUAACUUUUGUACAGAUCAAUUUGAUAAAAAUUAAAAAAUGCUUUUUAUCUA
This is a non-coding RNA of Odocoileus virginianus texanus, 2806 nucleotides long. The record is from RefSeq and is a predicted model, not a curated record. Lineage: Eukaryota; Metazoa; Chordata; Mammalia; Artiodactyla; Cervidae.